GGUGAGGCGCAGGCGUGAGCUGCCCAGGGGCAGGAUGAGCGGAGGGUGCGAGGAAAAACUUUCAAAGAUAUCCCCUAAUUCUGACUCAACGCAUCUAAGAAAUGGAGCAUAGAAAACUCUUUCUAGCAAGUUCGGAGUCAGAAGCAUUCAGCAUCCAUGUUCAGUCACUCUUGACACCGACUUCUGCGGCUGCCAGUGGCCCGUCAUGGUGUCUAAGUCAUCUCACGGGCUGGAGAUGACUCGGGGUCACAGAGAGGCUGAGUACACAGAGCCGGGAUAGAGAUUCAAAAGUCAAAGUCAUACAAAGCCGACCAAGAGUCACCUUGAGCAGGGAGGUGCGGGGCACACAUAGCAGGUUCACAGCAAUGGAAAGUUUCCGGAAGAACUCAGUGGCAAUGUCACCCAGCCCGGCCCCCUGAAGCCAAUCCAACACAAGAUCCAAGUUGGUUCUGAUUUGGACGGCUCGAGACCAUUGAUAGAAAGGUCGGCCUUGACCUGUGUAGGAAGAAAUGAGAGGCGUUGAAUGAAGCUACUUCCCAGGCAAAGCCACCCAACGCUGAAGCCUGAAGCCUGGCUUAUGUCUGCCUGGAUUAGGUCUGGAUAGCUCCUGGCUCCUCCCAACACAACCCUCACCUCGUUCCAUCAGUGAGUUGAGAAGGGAUGCAUUGGAGAAGAAGAACAAAUAGCCAAAAGUCUGGGACACGAGGUCGGGAUGCAGCUCACACUGACUGGUCAGUUCUAGAGCUGCCUGGAACACACCCAGAGUAGGCCUGAGCCCAGGCGGCAUGGCCUCCAGCUCUGCGCCAGGCCCUGGCAGCUCUGCUCCAGCUGUGAAAGGGUUACUGUCCAGGAGAGCUGGCAGUGUUGAAUAAAGAGUCUGGGGGAGGAAACAGGCAACAACCAGAGAGUGACAAUCAAUAAAGACAAUGGGGAAUUCCAUCAAGGGCUUCUGGGAAAUGUAGUCCAUUCUACACCAUUCCCAGGUGGCUCCCUGAUCAAUCCCCCAUUUCCUCGGUGAAUUUCUAGCAGGUAUUAGGCUCCCUGGAAGAAUCUGUCCUGAGAAAUGUUUUUAGUAAAGUUUCUUAGGUAUUCUGAGAGCAUCUCUUGUGCAUUAUGUAAUCUGUAGUUCUCACAGAGAGGUAGCUCACGUAGGACAGGCCUCUGAACAAAAAAAAGGACCUUCUUCUUCGGUCAAGGAAACGUUUGAGCAGAAUUUCCAAAGGAAAUUAAAAGAAUGGAGAGUCCAGAAGUAGGAGUUGGGUGGCAGCCAGCCAAGGGAAAUUCGAGCAAGCCAAGGACAGGAAACGAAGGCGAUGACAGAAAAAACGUCAGGGUCUACUUGUCAAGACCACACAAGAAGUAAACCCUUAGAGGAAAGGGUUUCACAAGCAGGGCCACUCCCGGGUCAUUCACUUGGUAUGUCCCUCUUAUUUUACAGAUAAGAGAAUGCAUUUACCAAAACCAAAACCCAACCUGCAAAUAGGAAGGUCAAAGGUGGUAGAGGGGAAACCAAGCCCCACAAGAAUACUCCAGUGAAAAAAAGAAAAGGACCAAGGAUCAGAAAAGGGAAGUGAAGUCAGAUGCAGGAAGUGGUAUCAGCAAACACACAAAACUCAGCAGUCAACUUCACCAGUGUAAGCUUU
Molecule: long non-coding RNA, 1643 nt
Filed under: Mus musculus (house mouse)
Lineage: Eukaryota; Metazoa; Chordata; Mammalia; Rodentia; Muridae
Description: RIKEN cDNA A030001D20 gene (A030001D20Rik)
Source: RNAcentral